This 1809-nucleotide long non-coding RNA is filed under the name Homo sapiens (human). RNAcentral describes it as "PREDICTED lncRNA (TCONS_00078821)". Lineage: Eukaryota; Metazoa; Chordata; Mammalia; Primates; Hominidae. The record is from RNAcentral.
ACAAGUCUGGAGGCCUGGGCAGGGCUCUGCUCUGGAAUCUCCGGUGGCCUGUUCCAUAGGCCAGCGUCCCUUGUCCUUCCCAUAGCAGAAAUGCUUUCGUGAGUUGGAAACCCUCUGUGGUGACCUCUACAUCUUCUCAAGGUCAGUUAUCCACUUGUCCAUGGCUUCGUGCCCCCAUCCCACAUCCCUGUCCACUGCAUGGAAGGAGGAAAUCUAACCCACCCGCCACAGUGCAGCCCACACUCCCCACACUGCCCCGACAGGAACAUGACAGAAGGUUUCCAACUAAAACCAAAGUUACUCAGCAAAGCUUCCUGCCAGGCAGCCGUGCUGGAGGGCGCAGCGUGCCUCUGUCUGCUCUUUCUGUUCUAUGAAACUUCUCUGCUGCAAGCACUUGAGAGCCUCUUGGCUUCCUGGGGAGAGUGGACUGAACUUCAAAGCAGACACAGCUGCAGCUAAGAAGCCCCUGGGUUGCCUCAAAGACUCUGUCUCCUCCCAGUCUGAAGCUUCUGGUGAAUGUUUCUCCCUCAUUCCUGAAACAACAGAUAGAGCUGUUGAAGUUUACAACGUCCCCCAAGGCAUUUCUGUGUUUCUGCCUUUAAUCUAGGGCCCAAGUGACCACCCACAAGAAUGCCCCGAACACUCACUGCCUCAGGAUGCGUCCUGCAAUUUACAUUCCCGUGGUGCCUCUGCCUUCACCCCACGCUGGUGCCCCCGCCUCCACUCCAGCCGUCUCUCUGGCCACCCCUGCCCCCUCGCUUCUCUCCAUCAUGCCAAAAAGUGCCCUCGUCCUCUGACGGUGGAAGAGGGGAUUCAGUUAGGAGUCGGGAUGGCCUAUGUGAUUUUUGUACACUAUUCCAGAAUAGGUGUGUGGUUGCUUUAAAAAUCAAAAGAAAUGUGUCUUCCAAAUCUUUGAAGCCCUUUGAUUUCAGGAAGCUGUGGACCGUGUUUAGCCUGUGGCUCUGUGUGCCCCUUGGCUGCUGCUGCUGCUUACUCCUGAGGGUGAAGUUGCUAACAUAAGAAACGAGUAAUUUGGAUUUGCGCUUCUUGGAGAAAGAAUUGUGCCAUGAAAAAUGGAAAACUCCUGAGAAGCUGUUCCAGCGUCAGGAGAGCAGCAGACAAGCUGGACUGGGGAAGAUUCUUCCUGCAAGACCUGCAGAGUGUAUGACACAUAACCAGCACCCAAGAAAUGUCUACCGAGGAAUUAAUGAAUGAGGAAAUACCUCUGUACACUCACCAGACACUGGCUGCUGGUUGUCACGGUGCUAAGAGCUGUGGGAAACAUGAAGAGCAAUGAGACCAGGUCCCUGCUCUGAGGAGACGUGUGCCAGCGAAGUUUCUCUCCCACGUGAGUGUGCUACAAGAAAAUCUGAACCCGAGAAUCUGAUUCAGUAGGUCUGCACUUUCUCCACUUUGCCAGAUAAUUCUGAUUGAGACCGUCAAGGCUGUGACUAGUGGGGAGGCAGUAGAGUAUUUUCUGUGCUAGACUGAGGCAGCCCUGAAGCACUGCGCAAGCACAUGGAAAAGAGAAACGAGAUUGGGCCGGGCACGGUGGCUCAUGCCUGGAAUCUUUGGGAGGCCACGGAUCACUUGAGGACAGGGGUUUGAGACCAGCUUGGCCAACAUGGUGAAACCUUGUCCCUACUAAAAAUACAAAAAUUAGCAGGGAGUGGUGGUGCACACCUGUAAUCCCAGCUACUCUGGAGGCUGAGGCAAAAGAAUCGCUUGAACCCGGGAGGUGGAGGUUGCAGUGAGCUGAGAUUGGACCACUGCCCUCCAGCCUGGGUGAUAGAGUGAGACUCCAUCUCU